ACAUGCCUACAACAUAGCAUUAAUCCAUCAUAUCCCAUUAGAACUUCGCAGUUAAGCGUACUCAGGCUAGAGUAGUACUGGGAUGGGUGACCGCCUGGGAAGUCCUAGUGUUUUACAUGUC
Picea glauca (white spruce) is the source of this 121-nucleotide non-coding RNA. The record is from Rfam. Lineage: Eukaryota; Viridiplantae; Streptophyta; Pinopsida; Pinales; Pinaceae.